GGCCUCCCAAUUCUUAUCACAGGCUGUGUUCUUUACACUGUAUUGAAAGAGGAGGUACAGUAAAUGCACCCCAUAUACACCUCAACACAGGCCCUUUGAAUGGUCUGUAUUGUGAAAUUGGGGGACAAAA
Molecule: small nucleolar RNA, 130 nt
Organism: Suncus etruscus (white-toothed pygmy shrew)
Lineage: Eukaryota; Metazoa; Chordata; Mammalia; Eulipotyphla; Soricidae
Product: small nucleolar RNA SNORA51
Exons: 1
Source: RefSeq, a predicted model, not a curated record